RNAcentral lists this long non-coding RNA (1266 nucleotides) under Sorghum bicolor (sorghum). RNAcentral's name for it is "long non-coding RNA (SBIC_LNC015834)". Lineage: Eukaryota; Viridiplantae; Streptophyta; Magnoliopsida; Poales; Poaceae. The record is from RNAcentral.
GCAUGAAAAAUUUAGCUAUGUAAACUUACCCCUAUUACCUUAGUCCCUUAUGGGGCUUAUGGCUUUUCCUUUGUCUUAGGUGGUUGAGAGACAGAACAGUUUGACUUGAGCACUAACUUUCUCAUUCUUAGCAAGUUUCAUAUCCGAGGUUUUGUGAUAUUUUCAAAAGAAAGCUUAAAUGUUCCUCUUAUGGUUCUCUUAUGUCACUCAAAUGGUGUAUGAUUCCUCACCAAGGCAUAUGGUAAGAGUUGCCUUCUCUAUUUCAUCCUAUUUCUAAAAGGCUUAUGUGGAGUUCAAGGUAGGGAUGAAAGGAGAUAGCAUACUUACUUUGCAUAUAUUGCGAAGUCAAAGCUCGGAUCCUUGAAGAGAAGUGUCAUACUCCCAGAUCAAGAUGUGCAAGUGUGAUAUAUGGUGGACUAGGUUGCUCCUUUAUUUGAUAGACUCUCUAUGUAUUGAGACAUGGCUAGCAUUUUUUCUUUUUUUUUUAUAUAUGAGCUUUCAUGUGCUCAAUUUUCUUUUUCUGUGGACUUGCGUAUGUCCAUCUUUUUAUUUCAUUUUGCCUAGCCUUUUGAUGUCUCAUUUACCAAAUAAUGCUUAGAGAGAUGUUCUAACAUUUAGAGUAUGGAGCAACCUAUUUAGUGGAUGCGAAAUACAUGUGGUUGCGUACUUCCAGUGUAGAAGCAGCAUAUAUAUAUGUGGUGUGUACGUGAUCUUGAUCUUAGGAGCAUGAAAAGUCUCUUAACAAGGGUCAACAAGACUUGACGACACUCAACCGAAAGCAAAUAGCUUAUGUGGAAAGGUUGCAAUUAUGUAAAGUAGAUAUGGCUGUGGUAGGAAUUCAUCACCAUUGAGGAACAAUUAAGGUUUUGAUCAUUUUAAGAAUAAAUCUCUGAUAAUCAUGCAUGCUUAGAAAAAUAUUAUAGUAGCUCUUGUCUUACUAUCUCAUGUCCCACAACAACUUAGACUUAGUUCUAGCACUUGCAACCCACAAAGUUUUUAGGUUCAUGGCAGUUUAAGUGAGCUAAGUGAUCCAUACUUAGAGAAAUACUAAGUUGUAUACUAGGCACUAGAGAAACAUUAACAAGCAACUAGCCAUCAUUUCCAUGAGGGAUAUAAACAUACAUGAAGCAUAUAUGCUAAAGGGAAAUGCUAAUAAAUAUUUUUUUUUAAGUAAGAAUGAUAAAAUGCAUGAAAAUAAAUAGGAUAGAAUACUUACCUUAGUGGGGGAGAGGAUCUCCCCCAAGCUAGAUCUUCGCUCACUGUGGU